AACACUGUUAACCUGCGGUACCUGCGGAGGGAUCAUUACCGAGUGCGGGUGGCCCCCUGGGCGCCCAACCUCCCACCCGUGAAUACCUAAACCCUGUUGCUUCGGCGGUGCGCCUUGGCCCCUAGGUUAGGGGCCGCCGCCGCCGGAGACCACCUGAACUUCUUGUCUGAGCCCGAUGCAGUCUGAGCGUGAAUGGAUGAAUCAGUCAAAACUUUCAACAACGGAUCUCAGAUCGGAAGA
Molecule: unclassified non-coding RNA, 240 nt
Filed under: soil metagenome
Description: partial contains 5.8S ribosomal RNA, internal transcribed spacer 2, and large subunit ribosomal RNA
Source: RNAcentral